AGAGCGAACGCUGGCGGCAGGCCUAACACAUGCAAGUCGAGCGCCCCGCAAGGGGAGCGGCAGACGGGAGAGUAACACGUGGGAACGUACCCUUUGGUUCGGAACAACCCAGGGAAACUUGGGCUAAUACCGAAUAAGCCCUUACGGGGAAAGAUUUAUCGCCAAAGGAUCGGCCCGCGUCUGAUUAGCUAGUUGGUGAGGUAACGGCUCACCAAGGCGACGAUCAGUAGCUGGUCUGAGAGGAUGAUCAGCCUCACUGGGACUGAGACACGGCCCAGACUCCUACGGGAGGCAGCAGUGGGGAAUAUUGGACAAUGGCGCAAGCCUGAUCCAGCCAUGCCGCGUGGGUGAUGAAGGCCCUAGGGUGUAAAGCCCUUUCGGCGGGGAAGAGUAAUGACGGUACCGCAGAAGAAGCCCGGCUAACUUCGUGCCAGCAGCCGC
This 441-nucleotide ribosomal RNA is filed under the name uncultured bacterium. RNAcentral describes it as "SSU rRNA". It matches the Rfam family "Bacterial small subunit ribosomal RNA", at positions 26 to 518 of the family's 1533-position model. The record is from RNAcentral.